Molecule: ribosomal RNA, 406 nt
Filed under: uncultured bacterium
Lineage: Bacteria
Description: partial 16S ribosomal RNA
Rfam family: Bacterial small subunit ribosomal RNA
Source: RNAcentral
AUUGAACGCUGGCGGCAGGCCUAACACAUGCAAGUCGAACGAGUGGCGGACGGGUGAGUAAUGUCUGGGAAACUGCCCGAUGGAGGGGGAUAACUAAUGGAAACGGUAGCUAAUACCGCAUACCAUCGGAUGUGCCCAGAUGGGAUUAGCUAGUAGGUGGGGUAAAGGCUCACCUAGGCGACGAUCCCUAGCUGGUCGGAGAGGAUGACCCGCCCCACUGGAAUUGAGACACGGUCCAGCCUCCUACGGGAGGAAGCAGUGGGUAAUAUUGCACAAAGUGCGCAAGCCUGAUGCAGCCAUGCCGCGUGUAUGAAGAAGGCCUUCGGGUUGUAAAGCACUUUCAUCGGGGAGGCGUUACCCGCAGAAGAAGCACCGGCUAACUCCGUGCCAGCAGCGGCGGUAAUAC